Etheostoma spectabile (orangethroat darter) is the source of this 142-nucleotide long non-coding RNA. RefSeq lists it as uncharacterized. NCBI's taxonomy places the organism in Eukaryota, Metazoa, Chordata, Actinopteri, Perciformes, Percidae. The transcript is spliced from 3 exons. The record is from RefSeq and is a predicted model, not a curated record.
AGUCUAUCAGCUACAGGACGCUGGGACAAAAUCUUAUUAAAAAGGGGUCCAUGUUCUAAUUUGUGUCAGUCUGGGGAUCCUUGAUGUAAAAAAAAGUUUUGGGAACCUAUUAACUUAACUUUAUAUCGAUCUGAAUAAAGAU